RNAcentral lists this ribosomal RNA (253 nucleotides) under uncultured bacterium. RNAcentral describes it as "partial 16S ribosomal RNA". It matches the Rfam family "Bacterial small subunit ribosomal RNA", at positions 524 to 776 of the family's 1533-position model. The record is from RNAcentral.
UACGUAGGGUGCAAGCGUUGUCCGGAAUUAUUGGGCGUAAAGAGCUCGUAGGCGGUCUGUCGCGUCUGCUGUGAAAACUCAGGGCUUAACCCUGAGCUUGCAGUGGGUACGGGCAGACUAGAGUGCGGUAGGGGAGACUGGAAUUCCUGGUGUAGCGGUGAAAUGCGCAGAUAUCAGGAGGAACACCGGUGGCGAAGGCGGGUCUCUGGGCUGUAACUGACGCUGAGGAGCGAAAGCGUGGGGAGCAAACAGG